Molecule: ribosomal RNA, 468 nt
Filed under: uncultured bacterium
Lineage: Bacteria
Description: partial 16S ribosomal RNA
Rfam family: Bacterial small subunit ribosomal RNA
Source: RNAcentral
ACGAACGCUGGCGGCGUGCUUAACACCUGCAGGUCGAACGGAAAGGCCCUGCUUUUGUGGGGUGCUCGAGUGGCGAACGGGUGAGUAACACGUGAGUAACCUGCCCUUGACUUUGGGAUAACUUCAGGAAACUGGGGCUAAUACCGGAUAGGAGCUCCUGCUGCAUGGUGGGGGUUGGAAAGUUUCGGCGGUUGGGGAUGGACUCGCGGCUUAUCAGCUUGUUGGUGGGGUAGUGGCUUACCAAGGCUUUGACGGGUAGCCGGCCUGAGAGGGUGACCGGCCACAUUGGGACUGAGAUACGGCCCAGACUCCUACGGGAGGCAGCAGUGGGGAAUAUUGCACAAUGGGCGGAAGCCUGAUGCAGCAACGCCGCGUGCGGGAUGACGGCCUUCGGGUUGUAAACCGCUUUCGCCUGUGACGAAGCGUGAGUGACGGUAAUGGGUAAAGAAGCACCGGCUAACUACGUGC